This 100-nucleotide small RNA is filed under the name Pongo abelii (Sumatran orangutan). RNAcentral's name for it is "processed transcript". The record is from RNAcentral. Lineage: Eukaryota; Metazoa; Chordata; Mammalia; Primates; Hominidae.
AGAAGAGAGAAGGUGAUUGAUCCCAAAGAAAGCCAACACCUAGACUGAUAAAUGUUAUGGCAGAUUGGCAUCCUGUACUUUAAAAGAGAUCACUCCUUCC